UGACGGAAAAUGUUAUAGUUGGGUAUGGAAAUCUCAGAAUUUUUGGUGGCCUUCCUGAGCCAGGAUUCAGACACGGCAAUGACAUCAGGGUUAGCAGUGAGUAAAACAAACUUAGGGAGGAGACUUCUGAUGUUGACAUGCAUGAAACCAAGGCUUUUUCGAUCACAGAAGUCAACAAAUGAGGGUGCCUGGGGACAUGCAGGGCCUGGGUUUACCUCCACAUCACCCGCGGAACAGAGGAGGAGUAGAAUGAGGGUGCGGCUAAAGGCUAUCAAAACUGGUCGCCUAGAGCGUUGGGACAGAGAAUAAAAGGAGCAGAUUUUUGGGCAUGGUAGAAUAUAUUCAGGGCAUAAUGUGCAGACAGGGGUAUGGUGGGGUGCGGGUACAGCGGAGGUAAUCCCAGGUACUGGGUGAUGAUGAGAGAGGUUGUAUCACUGGACAUGCUGGUUGUAAUGGGUGAGGUCACCGCAUGUGUGGGAGGUGAGACAAAGGAGGUAUCAGGGGUAUGAAGAGUGGAACUAGGGGCUCCAUUGUGAACUAAAACAAUGAUAACUAACCUGAACAACAGUAUGCAAGGCAUAUUGACAUUUGAGAGAGACAUACAGCGAGGCAUACAGUAAUCACAGGUGUUGAAUUGGGAGAGCUAGCUAAAACAGUAGCUUAAACAGUAGGUGAGACAACAACAGCUAAUCAGCUAGCACAACAACAGCAGGUAAAAUGGCGUUGACUAGGCAGGGAGGGUCAGAUUAACUACACACAGAGCCUGAGUGCGGCUGGGGCCGACAGAUAAAACAUAAACAAGCAGAAUGGAGUACUGUGAUUAAUGGACAGUCCAGCAUGCAUCAGCUAGGUAGCCAAGUGAUCAGUGUCCAGGGGGCAGCGGUGGAUGGGGCAGGAAAGCUGGACUGGCGAGUUUUAUCCAGGUAAAAAAAACUGUCUGGCUGUGCAGAAGGUAAAAGGUAAAAGCCGCUAGCAGUGGCUAACAAUGACUAAAUAGCUUGUAGCUAGUUAGCUAGUUAGCUUCUGGAGGUUCUUGAGUGUGUUCUAAAAAUUAAAAAUAAUAGCGAUUCUGUAUCACAUUGGGUGAGACAGGUUACCGGAAGGUAUAAACAAAUUAAAAAUCGAAAAGAGAUUGAAAGUAAAUAUGGGUCCAGUGAGUGGUUGGGACGCGGCGAUUCAGACGGUUAGCAGGCCUGUGCUAACAAGCUAACAGUUAGUAGGCCGGGGCUAAACAAGGUAGCAGUUAGCGGACCGGGGCUAAACAAGCUAGCAGUUAGCAGGCCGAAUUUGCAAGCAAGGAGAUAGCAAGGGCUAGAAAGUUAGCCUUUGGGGGACGUCGCGAUGGUGUGAGUCUGUUUAUGCCUCUUCAUGCGGUGACAUCGAUAGACCGGUCGUGGGUCCGGAUAUUGUAGCACAAGAGUAUGCUUCGGUGGUAGCACAAGAGCUGGCCGGGCUAGCUUCAAGUUAAGUGUGUGGAAACUCUAGCCAGGAGUAAUCAUCCGGGGUUGUGGUUAGCUAGUUAGCUAGUUGUGAAGAUCCAGCUGAAAAUGUUCCGUUUGUGGUGGGAAUCCGGUGGGAAUCCGGGGGUAAAAAAAAAAAGAAUAAUAGGUCCGUUAUGCUCUGGUUAGAGUCACGUUGUUCGAACUGGCGAGAGCUUUCCGAGCUAAAGGUUAGCUGAUGACCGGUUAGCUGAAGACCGCUAGCAAUGGUUUGCUGACUGAUAGCUGGUAGUUAGCUGGCUAGCUUUAGUUGAGGGGUUCCAGAUCCGAAGUAAAUAUAAAUACUUUAGAAAAAAGCAGAUCCGCGCUACAUUGGGUGAGGCGGGUUGCAGGAGAGUAUUUAGAAGUUGAGGUUUAGCAAAAUGUUUUAAAAGAUAUGCGAAGAAAAAUAUGUAAAAAAAAAAAAAAAACGAUAUAUACAAGGGACACGACACAACAAGACGUCUGACUGGUACGCCAUCUUGGAUAAUCAACUAUCAACAUUGUAAACAGUGUCAGAGGCAUGUGGUGGCUUGGGGAAUAGGGACUUAAGGAGGCGCUACUAAUCCUGUUGAAGUAGGCUAAUUAGAGCACAUGACUUUACACUCACAUGGAGAGAGAGAGCCUUCAGAUUACACAGAUCCACAAAGAAUUCGAAAACAACCCGGAUUUGGAUCAACUCCCAUAUCUACUGGGUGAAAUACCACAGAGUGCCAUCACAGCAGCAAGAUUUGUGACCUGUUGCCACAAGAAAAGGUCAACCAGUGAAGAACAAACACCAUUGUAAAUACAACCCAUAUUUAUGCUUAUUUAUUUUCUGUUUUGUACUUUAAGCAUUUGUACAUCAUUACAACACUGUAUACAGUUGAAGUCGGAAGUUUAC
Long non-coding RNA from Oncorhynchus tshawytscha (Chinook salmon), 2361 nucleotides. NCBI's taxonomy places the organism in Eukaryota, Metazoa, Chordata, Actinopteri, Salmoniformes, Salmonidae. The record is from Ensembl.